Molecule: ribosomal RNA, 252 nt
Filed under: uncultured bacterium
Lineage: Bacteria
Description: partial 16S ribosomal RNA
Rfam family: Bacterial small subunit ribosomal RNA
Source: RNAcentral
ACGGAGGGUGCGAGCGUUAUUCGGAAUUAUUGGGCGUAAAGAGCGUGUAGGCGGCCGGUUAAGUCAGGUGUGAAAGCCCAGGGCUCAACCCUGGAAGGGCACUUGAAACUGAUCGACUUGAGUUCGGGAGAGGGAAGCGGAAUUCCGGGUGUAGAGGUGAAAUUCGUAGAUAUCCGGAGGAACACCGGUGGCGAAGGCGGCUUCCUGGACCGAAACUGACGCUGAGACGCGAAAGCGUGGGGAGCAAACAGG